ACAAAAACAUAGGGGAGCUUGUAUUGGCAGGCUGAGAGGAAGUAAUCAACUUCGACCCUUUAACCUGAUGCGGAUAAUGCCGCCGUAGGAAAUCAUAAUUGCUGAUUU
This 108-nucleotide non-coding RNA is filed under the name Faecalimonas nexilis. Its description in RNAcentral is "Clostridium nexile TPP sequence". It matches the Rfam family "TPP riboswitch aptamer (THI element)". Rfam says of the family: Vitamin B(1) in its active form thiamin pyrophosphate (TPP) is an essential coenzyme that is synthesised by coupling of pyrimidine and thiazole moieties in bacteria. The previously detected thiamin-regulatory element, thi box was extended, resulting in a new, highly conserved RNA secondary structure, the THI element, which is widely distributed in eubacteria and also occurs in some archaea. The record is from RNAcentral. Lineage: Bacteria; Bacillati; Bacillota; Clostridia; Lachnospirales; Lachnospiraceae.